RNAcentral lists this long non-coding RNA (732 nucleotides) under Homo sapiens (human). RNAcentral describes it as "long non-coding RNA NONHSAT118194.2". The record is from RNAcentral. Lineage: Eukaryota; Metazoa; Chordata; Mammalia; Primates; Hominidae.
AUGAGUGGUGUCAUAAAGCUCCCAAGAGUUUACGUCUUUUGUGAUUGGCUACCAGCAGACCAUGUGUCAACAUAUGCGGAGUUUGUGCAGACGCACAGAACCUCUGGGGAGUAUAUGUUUGAAUUUGAUGAGGAGGAGCAGUUCUACGUGAACCUGGAUGAGAAGGAGAUGGUCUGGCCUCUACCAGAGUUUAUUCACACCUUUGACUUUGGUGCUCAGAGGGGUAUUGCUGGCAUCGUCAUGGCAAGGAAGCACUUGAACACCCGGAUCAAUGGUCCAAACAGACUUGGGCCACAAAUCCCCCACCGAGGUAAGCGUCUUUCCCAAGGAGCCUGUGGAUCUGGGCCAGCCCAACACCCUCGUCUGCCAUGUUGACAAGUUCUUCCCACCAGUGCUGAACAUCACGUGGCUGCGCAAUGGGGAGCCAGUCAUUGAGGGUAUUGCAGAGACCAUCUUCCUGCCCAGCAAGAAACUCAGAUUACACAGGUUCCACUAUCUGACCCUCGUUCCCAUGGCCGAGGACACCUGUGACCUCCAGGGGGAGCACUGGGGCCUGCACCAGCCUCUCCUCAGGCACUGGGAGGUCCAUGAACUAAUCCAGGUGCCUGAGACCAUGGAGAUGCUGGUCUGUGCCCUCGGCCUGCUGGUGGGCCUGGCGGGGGUCCUUAAUGGCACCAUUGUCUCAAAGACCAAGCGAUCUGACAGCAUCCCCGGGUCCAGGGGCUCCUAUGA